AUUGAACGCUGGCGGCAGGCUUAACACAUGCAAGUCGAGCGGGGUGAUGGUGCUUGCACUAUCACUUAGCGGCGGACGGGUGAGUAAUGCUUAGGAAUCUGCCUAUUAGUGGGGGACAACAUCUCGAAAGGGAUGCUAAUACCGCAUACGUCCUACGGGAGAAAGCAGGGGAUCACCUGUGACCUUGCGCUAAUAGCUGAGCCUAAGUCGGAUUAGCUAGUUGGUGGGGUAAAGGCCUACCAAGGCGACGAUCUGUAGCGGGUCUGAGAGGAUGAUCCGCCACACUGGGACUGAGACACGGCCCAGACUCCUACGGGAGGCAGCAGUGGGGAAUAUUGGACAAUGGGGGAACCCUGAUCCAGCCAUGCCGCGUGUGUGAAGAAGGCCUUAUGGUUGUAAAGCACUUUAAGCGAGGAGGAGGCUCUUUUGGUUAAUACCCAAGAUGAGUGGACGUUACUCGCAGAAUAAGCACCGGCUAACUCUGUGCCAGCAGCCGCAGUAA
RNAcentral lists this ribosomal RNA (502 nucleotides) under uncultured bacterium. Its description in RNAcentral is "partial 16S ribosomal RNA". It matches the Rfam family "Bacterial small subunit ribosomal RNA", at positions 30 to 523 of the family's 1533-position model. The record is from RNAcentral.